AAGGACAUAGCUCAAUGGUAGAGUGAGUGCUUAGAAUGCACAAGGUCCUGGGUCCAGUCCCCAGUAUCUCUA
Molecule: transfer RNA, 72 nt
Filed under: Camelus bactrianus (Bactrian camel)
Lineage: Eukaryota; Metazoa; Chordata; Mammalia; Artiodactyla; Camelidae
Also listed under: 1 other name
Rfam family: tRNA
About the family: Transfer RNA (tRNA) molecules are approximately 80 nucleotides in length.
Source: Rfam by way of RNAcentral